UCCUUUGUAGUUUUUGAGAACAUUGAUUUUGUAAAUCAAAGGAGGAGACUGUUCUCCUGAAGGAG
RNAcentral lists this transfer RNA (65 nucleotides) under Columbicola macrourae. Its description in RNAcentral is "tRNA-Thr". Lineage: Eukaryota; Metazoa; Arthropoda; Insecta; Psocodea; Philopteridae. The record is from RNAcentral.